AUUUAUUUAAUAUAACAAAGUAUAUUUGACUUCCAAUCAAAAAGUUUAAUUCUUAAAAUAAAUA
RNAcentral lists this transfer RNA (64 nucleotides) under Hemicaecilius mockfordi. RNAcentral describes it as "tRNA-Gly". The record is from RNAcentral. Lineage: Eukaryota; Metazoa; Arthropoda; Insecta; Psocodea; Sphaeropsocidae.